CGGAGGUUCAGAAAGACCAAACCAGACUAAGGUGAAUCAGAUAAAAAGGAGGAAAUGAAAAUGAAGCUAAAGUUGGAAGUUCGUUAGAUGGUGAAGAAGCUGUCUCUUCCGAUGUAAAAUAUUGGUUGGAUUGCAGUCAGUUUCAGAGGCAAGGAACUGUUCAGGAACAUAAGGUACAGCACUGGAACAGCCCCUUCUGGUCCCACGAACCUGUGCUGUCCAGUUACACCAAUAUGACCCAUUAGCUUACUAACCC
This is a long non-coding RNA of Hypanus sabinus (Atlantic stingray), 256 nucleotides long. RefSeq lists it as uncharacterized. The transcript has 3 exons. Lineage: Eukaryota; Metazoa; Chordata; Chondrichthyes; Myliobatiformes; Dasyatidae. The record is from RefSeq and is a predicted model, not a curated record.